CCUACGGGUGGCAGCAGUGAGGAAUAUUGGUCAAUGGGCGCGAGCCUGAACCAGCCAAGUCGCGUGAAGGAUGACUGCCCUACGGGUUGUAAACUUCUUUUGUCAGGGAGUAAAGUGAGGCACGUGUGCCGUUUUGUAUGUACUUGAUGAAUAAGGAUCGGCUAACUCCGUGCCAGCAGCCGCGGUAAUACGGAGGAUCCGAGCGUUAUCCGGAUUUAUUGGGUUUAAAGGGAGCGUAGAUGGGGUGUUAAGUCAGUGGUGAAAGUUUGCGGCUCAACCGUAAAAUUGCACUUGAUAAUGGUAGUCCUGAGUAGAGCUGAGGGAGGUGGAAUUGGUGGGGGAGCGGUGAAA
Molecule: ribosomal RNA, 351 nt
Filed under: uncultured bacterium
Lineage: Bacteria
Description: partial 16S ribosomal RNA
Rfam family: Bacterial small subunit ribosomal RNA
Source: RNAcentral